AGAACCACUUCUGUGAUAGUCGGGGAGAGCAAAGCUCAGAGAGGGCGGAUUCUAGGCCCCACAGCACACAGAGAGGCUGUGUGGCCUGGCCCCUGCCUUUUCUCAUUGCCUCACCCCAUCCCCCAACCAGCUUGCUCGAUCUUCCUUCUGAUGCUUGAGUGGGCGCUCUGGGGCCCUGCCUCAGGACCUGGGAACUUGUUCAUUCUGCCUAAAAUUUCCAUGAGUGGCUCCUUCUGUCAAUCAGGUCUCAGCUCAGAUGUCCCCUCAGAGACCUUCCCUGAUCACUCUAACUGAAGUAGCUCACCCCUCUCCCCCCCUCAAAUACUCAUCUCAGCUGGUCAAUUUUCCUUGUAGCCAUUAUUACUGUAGAAAAUUAUUUAUUUAUUUACCCAUUAUUAGCUAUUAUCCCCUUGUCUGUCUUGUUCUAUGCUGUACCCACAGCACCCAGAAGAGUGCUUGACACACAGUAGGUGCUUAGUAAAUAUUUAUUACUUUAAUUUAUUAGUCAGUGGCAGAACUAGGACUGGAAAUGCAGAUUGUCAGUCUCUUGCCACAAGACAGGGAAAAGGAUUGAGAUGAGGAGAGGAAGUGCCUGUCUGAGGUCAGGGGACCUGGGAAGCAAGCACAGCUUUGCCACCGUCACCCUGGGUGACUUGGACCAGUGCCUUAUUCUCUCAUCUGUGAAAUGAAAGUGCUGGAUGACAACCAUAACUGAGGUCCCAUUUCCUGUGACAGCUGAAGACAAGGCUAACUGAUCUGAGGGGCAGAUGCUUGAGGGCUGGCUCUCCCCCACUCCCCCACCUCCAGCUUGAACUCCCACCACUAGCACAAUUUGUCCCUUUCAAGUGGAGAUGGUGGAGAUGGGAAAAAGCAUUUGGCUCUGUACAGAAUGGCUCCAGGCAUUGUCAAAGCUCUCAGUCUGGGGAGAAUACAAUUCUAUAGUAUAGCUCUAGGAUCAGAUAGUCCUGCUGACUUUGGGGGUGACCUGGGGCAAGUCACUCAGCAAAUGGUGUCUACCUUGCAGGGUUAUUGUGAGAAUUCAGUGUAUAUGUAGGUACAUGCAUUCUCUCUCACAUGUCAACAUACUGCACCCCCUCCCCCCACCCCCUGAGAAGCCUGGCACACUGGGAGCUCAAGAGGUAGUCUGGUUGCCCUUGCCCACAUGCCCCCAGCCCCGGGCAACAUCAAGAUGACUCUAUUCUGGUUACUUUUGCUCACAGACUGCCCUCUUUUUCUGUCAUUUUGACGCCAUCUCUGAUUUGGUCCUGUCUGACAUCUCUGCUCUCUGCUCCAGAUUCCCUUUGCCCGUAUGCCAAUGGGGAUCAUGCCAGAGAUCAUAUCUGAGAAAGCAAGACCCAGUUUUGUUUGCGUGUGUCUCUGUUGUUGAUCACUGGCUGCCAUGGGGGUGUGUCUACGUGGCACCUUCAGCCCGGAAGACCCUCAAAGGCAAGAAUUCAAGAAAAUGUAUGAUGAAUCUCCGUGUUGCCAUCUGCCAGAAACAGAAUGGGCACAAAGAACUUGCGCAUUGAUCCCAUCUCAGCACCUUAGCUGAGUUUCCUACAUUUCUGGAUAAUGAUGGAAGGACUUGUCCAUUGGGGUGGAGAACCAUGGAAGGGUGAAUCGAGGGUGUGGCUGGCCUGUGGUGCUUUUUGGAGGAGUGAAUAAAGAUGAGUAGAAAUGCCA
Molecule: long non-coding RNA, 1683 nt
Organism: Myotis lucifugus (little brown bat)
Lineage: Eukaryota; Metazoa; Chordata; Mammalia; Chiroptera; Vespertilionidae
Exons: 2
Source: RefSeq, a predicted model, not a curated record